AGUUUGGCACGCGGGAGCUGGGUAACAUGGUCCGGCUGAGAGGAUGCUGCCUGAAGCAUCGACCGUAAGAACCUGUACUGGAUAAUGCCAGCGUAGGGAGAGGAAGCCAACAUCGG
This 116-nucleotide non-coding RNA is filed under the name Bacillus thermozeamaize. RNAcentral's name for it is "TPP sequence". It matches the Rfam family "TPP riboswitch aptamer (THI element)". Rfam says of the family: Vitamin B(1) in its active form thiamin pyrophosphate (TPP) is an essential coenzyme that is synthesised by coupling of pyrimidine and thiazole moieties in bacteria. The previously detected thiamin-regulatory element, thi box was extended, resulting in a new, highly conserved RNA secondary structure, the THI element, which is widely distributed in eubacteria and also occurs in some archaea. The record is from RNAcentral. Lineage: Bacteria; Bacillati; Bacillota; Bacilli; Caryophanales; Bacillaceae.